This is a long non-coding RNA of Polypterus senegalus (gray bichir), 1657 nucleotides long. RefSeq lists it as uncharacterized. The transcript has 5 exons. NCBI's taxonomy places the organism in Eukaryota, Metazoa, Chordata, Cladistia, Polypteriformes, Polypteridae. The record is from RefSeq and is a predicted model, not a curated record.
ACACACAAAAAAGCUCACUUAAAGUCAUCCAUCACACCAGUACUUAGCCAUUCCAAUACAAGUCUGAAUGCACUAAAACCAUUGGGCAGAGCAGAUAUGAACAGAAUGCAUAUCUUGUUCAAGCAUGCUGUUAUGUUAUUGUUAACAAGGUAACUUAUUAUAAUAUCAUACUUGUAUACUUGUAUUUGAAAUAAUUUUUCUGACCACGCACCUGAACUAAACCUUUUGCUUGUGUAAAAAUUAAAUUAAUAACAAUAUUAAAAUAUCAUCUGCUUUCUGUCCAGCAAACAAUAUGUUCCUUCUGUUUGUUUUUUUUUUUUUUUAAGAUACCCAAGAUUCACUGUGCUAGCUAUGUGGCUUUUAGUCCUCUAUAAGUAUGAACACACUUCAGAAGUUUUUGAAAUAUUAAAGCAGAACUAAAGUAAAACAAAAACUUGUCUUAAAAAGGUUGAUUUGAGUCUAAGGUUGCCAGAUGCUCCUUCUGAUGCCCUGCCCCUCCCUUUCUCUACUCCUCCCAAUUUUCACCACCCAGCCAAAAAGUGGAUGCACUGGAUUAUAGCAAACAAUCCCUUCAAGGCAAGAUGGCAAAGACAAUCCACCACAAGACUCUUUUGCACACUAAAAUGUGUUGUAUACAUGUAAACAAGUUUUGUUGGAAAAAAAACAUCUCCCAAGUAAAUACAUGUAAAUUGCACAGCACUCAGGAUAAAGUAUAUAGGCCUGGUAGACCAGGACAAAUAAUCUGGUUACAGCCUAAUGCUAUCAGUUGGGCAAGAUGACUGAUUUGAGUGACACUAAGUAGCCACCUCACAGCUGUCUUCACAAAGUUUUCUUUUUCUUUUGCAGUUGUUCCCCAUCCACUCAUUGCUAAGAUAAUCAGAAAGGUAGAGCUGUGGGAUGUGCCUGUCUGAUAGUGUUCAAUUGUCAGUUUAGGAGUAUGCAAUGACAAUGCCUUGUAACAGAUUCUCUUGUUUUAAUUUUGACUUUUUCAUUUCCCAAAUGAGUACUUAAAAGAAUUGGAAAAAUGACAUAGAAGUUGGACUGUCUAUUUGUUUAAUUGCAUUUUUAGGUUAUGAUAAAAAUGCUACUUAGACAGUGUUAUGUUUAUUUAUUUUUUUUUUUUUGUUUUUUUACAGCACAAGUUACAGAACUUUGCUCCUUUUCAGUCACUUGAGGAUCAAGCCCAACUUUGGACAUUGGACAAGAAGCAGCAAAGGAAACCCAGGCAUAUUAAAAUAUUGGCUCUGCUGUGCUCUUAUGUGCAGAUGUGAUGAUCAUCUAUAUCCGGAGGAUGAAAGAGAAUAUCCACUAGGUUCGAGGCCUGUGUUCCCAAAACUGUAUUAAGGAUAGCACCGUGGGAGAAUACUUGGUGCUUCAGACUCAAGUUUCAAGCAUCCUUGGUUCAAAUUCUGCACCUGGUUGUUGCCUUUGUGGAGUUAACAUUUUCUCAAUGAGUCAGCACUGAUUCUUCUACAGUAGAAGAGAGUAUCACCAAACAACAAUGAUGUCAACUCCAGCUCCAUCUCUUCCAGGUGAAACCAUAUAAAAAGAAGACAUAAACAAGAAGCCAGCAUCAUCUAAUCUGGAUGGAAAAAUAAGAAAAUACUGAAUUAUCCUAAGAUGCCAAGAAUUCUACUUUGUGGGGAAAAGUUUAAAA